CAAGGUUAAAACUCAAAUGAAUUGACGGGGGCCCGCACAAGCGGUGGAGCAUGUGGUUUAAUUCGAUGCAACGCGAAGAACCUUACCUGGCCUUGACAUCCAGAGAACUUAGCAGAGAUGCUUUGGUGCCUUCGGGAACUCUGAGACAGGUGCUGCAUGGCUGUCGUCAGCUCGUGUUGUGAAAUGUUGGGUUAAGUCCCGCAACGAGCGCAACCCUUAUCCUUUGUUGCCAGCGGGUNNUGCCGGGAACUCAAAGGAGACUGCCGGUGAUAAACCGGAGGAAGGUGGGGAUGACGUCAAGUCAUCAUGGCCCUUACGGCCAGGGCUACACACGUGCUACAAUGGCGCAUACAAAGAGAAGCGACCUCGCGAGAGCAAGCGGACCUCAUAAAGUGCGUCGUAGUCCGGAUCGGAGUCUGCAACUCGACUCCGUGAAGUCGGAAUCG
RNAcentral lists this ribosomal RNA (446 nucleotides) under soybean endophytic bacterium EN112. RNAcentral's name for it is "bacterial SSU rRNA". It matches the Rfam family "Bacterial small subunit ribosomal RNA", at positions 889 to 1334 of the family's 1533-position model. The record is from RNAcentral.